RNAcentral lists this ribosomal RNA (508 nucleotides) under uncultured bacterium. Its description in RNAcentral is "partial 16S ribosomal RNA". It matches the Rfam family "Bacterial small subunit ribosomal RNA", at positions 28 to 507 of the family's 1533-position model. The record is from RNAcentral.
GACGAACGCUGGCGGCGUGCCUAAUACAUGCAAGUCGAACGAUUCUUUCCUCCCGAGUGCUUGCACUCAAUUGGGACGAGUAGGGGCGGACUGGGUAGUAAACCUUGGUUAACCUACCCAUCAGAUGCGGGUAACACUUGGUAACACCUGCUAAUACCUCGUAACAGUUUAUUCCGCAGUGCAUAAGAGUGAAAGUCUCUUUCAUGGGUCGCUGAUGGCUGGACCCGCGACGCGUUAGGUAGUUGGUAAGGGAACGGGUCACUAAGGACACGAUGCCUAGGCGACCCGAGAGGGUGAUCCGGCACAACGGGACUGGGACACGGCACAGACCCCUACGGGAGGGAGCAGUAGGGAAUUUUCGGCAAUGGACGAAAGUCUGACCGAGGAAAGGCGGCGGAGUGAAGAAGGGUUUCGGAUUCUAAAACUCUGUUGUUAGGGAAGAAAAAGAAGGUUAGUAACUGAACGUCCCCUGACGGUAUCUAAAUAGAAAGACCCGGCUAACUACGUG